CUUCCUUGCAUUUACUUUUGAACCGUGCUUGCUGGGCAGGGGAUUCAGUCCUGCUUAUUACAGCUCUCUGGGCUUUCACGUGGAGCUUUUGCACGAGCCAUGUCUUGCUGCAUUUCUGCAGCAGAUGGUUGUAGGACAACUGAUGGUAACUUCGUAAAUGACCAGAUUCCCAAAAGAACCUCACCCGACAGUUUUGUGAACUGGAAGUAAAUGGAACUGAGAUUCUGCCAUCAGAGUAUUGGAGGCUUUCUGAGUAUGAAAAAUUUGAGACCUUUGCUUAUUGCUCCAUCAAACAAACACUAAGCCACAAUACAAAUAGUUGGAAAUCAUAUAUGAAGAACCUGGAUUUCAGGUGAUGGGCAUUAAAUAAAGCUUCUUGGACUUA
This is a long non-coding RNA of Apus apus (common swift), 385 nucleotides long. RefSeq lists it as uncharacterized. Lineage: Eukaryota; Metazoa; Chordata; Aves; Apodiformes; Apodidae. The transcript has 2 exons. The record is from RefSeq and is a predicted model, not a curated record.